GUGGGGAAUCUUCCGCAAUGGACGAAAGUCUGACGGAGCAACGCCGCGUGAGUGAUGAAGGUUUUCGGACUGUAAAGCUCUGUUGUUUAGGACGAAAGUGCCUGUUGCGAAUAGUUACAGGUAUUGACGGUACUGAACGAGGAAGCCACGGCUAACUACGUGCCAGCAGCCGCGGUAAUACGUAGGUGGCAAGCGUUGUCCGGAAUUAUUGGGCGUAAAGAGCAUGUAGGCGGGAAUCUAAGUCUGUUGUGAAAAUGCGGGGCUCAACCCCGUAUUGCGAUGGAAACUGGGUUUCUUGAGUGCAGGAGAGGAAAGGGGAAUUCCCAGUGUAGCGGUGAAAUGCGUAGAUAUUGGGAGGAACACCAGUGGCGAAGGCGCCUUUCUGGACUGUGUCUGACGCUGAGAUGCGAAAGCCAGGGUAGCGAACGGGAUUAGAUACCCUGGUAGUC
RNAcentral lists this ribosomal RNA (449 nucleotides) under uncultured bacterium. RNAcentral describes it as "partial 16S ribosomal RNA". It matches the Rfam family "Bacterial small subunit ribosomal RNA", at positions 354 to 795 of the family's 1533-position model. The record is from RNAcentral.